GGCUGAAGGAGCUGGGAUUGUUCAGUCUGGAGAAGAGGAGGCUCAGGGGAGACCUUAUUGCUCUCUAUAACUACCUGAAGGGAGGUUGUGGUGAGCUGGGGGUCAGCCUCUUCUCCCGGGUGACUAGUGAUAGGACUAGAGGGAAUGGCUUCAAGCUGCGUCAGGGAAGGUUCAGGCUGGACGUUAGGAAAUACUACUUCUCUGAAAGGGUGGUCAGGCACUGGAAUG
RNAcentral lists this long non-coding RNA (228 nucleotides) under Gallus gallus (chicken). The record is from RNAcentral. Lineage: Eukaryota; Metazoa; Chordata; Aves; Galliformes; Phasianidae.